Molecule: ribosomal RNA, 433 nt
Filed under: uncultured bacterium
Lineage: Bacteria
Description: partial 16S ribosomal RNA
Rfam family: Bacterial small subunit ribosomal RNA
Source: RNAcentral
AGCGAACGCUGGCGGCAGGCCUAACACAUGCAAGUCGAACGAACUCUUCGGAGUUAGUGGCGGACGGGUGAGUAACACGUGGGAACGUGCCUUUAGGUUCGGAAUAACUCAGGGAAACUUGUGCUAAUACCGAAUGUGCCCUUCGGGGGAAAGAUUUAUCGCCUUUAGAGCGGCCCGCGUCUGAUUAGCUAGUUGGUGAGGUAAAGGCCCACCAAGGCGACGAUCAGUAGCUGGUCUGAGAGGAGGAUCAGCCACAUUGGGACUGAGACACGGCCCAAACUCCUACGGGAGGCAGCAGUGGGGAAUCUUGCGAAAUGGGCGAAAGCCUGACGCAGCCAUGCCGCGUGAAUGAUGAAGGUCUUAGGAUUGUAAAAUUCUUUAACCGGGGACGAUAAUGACGGUACCCGGAGAAGAAGCCCCGGCUAACUUCGUG